GACGAACGCUGGCGGCGUGCUUAACACAUGCAAGUCGAACGGAAAGGCCCUGCUUUUGUGGGGUGCUCGAGUGGCGAACGGGUGAGUAACACGUGAGUAACCUGCCCUUGACUUUGGGAUAACUUCAGGAAACUGGGGCUAAUACCGGAUAGGAGCUCCUGCUGCAUGGUGGGGGUUGGAAAGUUUCGGCGGUUGGGGAUGGACUGGCGGCUUAUCAGCUUGUUGGUGGGGUAGUGGAUUACCAAGGCUUUGACGGGUAGCCGGCCUGAGGGGGUGACCGGCCACAUUGGGACGGAAAUACGGCCCAGACUCCUACGGGAGGCAACGGUGGGGAAUAUUGCACAGUAGGCGGAAGCCUGAUGCAGCAACGCCGCGUGCGGGAUGACGGCCUUCGGGUUGUAAACCGCUUUCGCCUGAGACGAAGCGUGAGUGACGGUAAUGGGUAAAGAAGCACCGGCUAACUACGUG
RNAcentral lists this ribosomal RNA (468 nucleotides) under uncultured bacterium. RNAcentral's name for it is "partial 16S ribosomal RNA". It matches the Rfam family "Bacterial small subunit ribosomal RNA", at positions 28 to 507 of the family's 1533-position model. The record is from RNAcentral.